This 48-nucleotide ribosomal RNA is filed under the name Acacia concurrens. RNAcentral's name for it is "partial 18S ribosomal RNA". RNAcentral also lists the same sequence under 2 other names. The record is from RNAcentral. Lineage: Eukaryota; Viridiplantae; Streptophyta; Magnoliopsida; Fabales; Fabaceae.
GGUUGAUCCUGCCAGUAGUCAUAUGCUUGUCUCAAAGAUUAAGCCAUG